RNAcentral lists this unclassified non-coding RNA (74 nucleotides) under Kaistella jeonii. Its description in RNAcentral is "Chryseobacterium jeonii Flavo-1 RNA". Lineage: Bacteria; Pseudomonadati; Bacteroidota; Flavobacteriia; Flavobacteriales; Weeksellaceae. The record is from RNAcentral.
UUUUAGCCCCGAUUGAAUGGCCUGUUCAGCUCUCCCGAUUCAUCGGGAAGCGAGUAGUGAAAGCGGGUGGAAUA